Molecule: ribosomal RNA, 463 nt
Filed under: uncultured bacterium
Lineage: Bacteria
Description: bacterial SSU rRNA
Rfam family: Bacterial small subunit ribosomal RNA
Source: RNAcentral
GAUGAACGCUGACAGAAUGCUUAACACAUGCAAGUCGACUGGAAUUCACCUUCGGGUGAUAGUACGGUGGCGGACGGGUGAGUAACGCGUAAAGAACUUGCCCUCUAGACUGGGACAACUGUUGGAAACGACAGCUAAUACCGGAUAUUAUGAGAUUCUCGCAUGGGAAACUUAUGAAAGGCUAUAUGCGCUAGAGGAGAGCUUUGCGUGCCAUUAGGUAGUUGGUAGGGUAAUGGCCUACCAAGCCGACGAUGGCUAGCCGGCCUGAGAGGGUGAUCGGCCACAAGGGGACUGAGACACGGCCCUUACUCCUACGGGAGGCAGCAGUGGGGAAUAUUGGACAAUGGACCAAAAGUCUGAUCCAGCAAUUCUGUGUGCACGAUGAAGGUUUUCGGAUCGUAAAGUGCUUUUCAGUAGGGAAGAAAAAAUGACGGUACCUACAGAAGAAGCGACGGCUAAAUCG